This 264-nucleotide ribosomal RNA is filed under the name uncultured bacterium. RNAcentral describes it as "partial 16S ribosomal RNA". It matches the Rfam family "Bacterial small subunit ribosomal RNA", at positions 524 to 787 of the family's 1533-position model. The record is from RNAcentral.
UACGAAGGGUGCAAGCGUUAAUCGGAAUUACUGGGCGUAAAGCGCGCGUAGGUGGUUCAGCAAGUUGGAUGUGAAAGCCCUGGGCUCAACCUGGGAACUGCAUCCAAAACUACUGAGCUAGAGUACGGUAGAGGGUAGUGGAAUUUCCUGUGUAGCGGUGAAAUGCGUAGAUAUGGGAAGGAACACCAGUGGCGAAGGCGAGUCCCUGGACAACACCUGACACUGAGGCACGAAAGCCGGGGGAGCAAACAGGAUUAGAAACCC